AUUAGAUAUGAAAACUGCUUUUAAGAUAAGGGUGCAGUUUGCACCGUCCAUACAUUUUGACGGCCAUGAUUGCAUAGUAAAUAAAAGGCCAAAACGGGUGAUCGUCACUAGUCGGUUUUGCUUCCCUCGGCACGUCCCUCUACCACACCAGACUUGAGACUAGACGGGAGGAAGAGGAAUUUAGAGAGAAAAAGAAGAUAGGUGGAUUGAA
Molecule: long non-coding RNA, 211 nt
Filed under: Amborella trichopoda
Lineage: Eukaryota; Viridiplantae; Streptophyta; Magnoliopsida; Amborellales; Amborellaceae
Description: long non-coding RNA (ATRI_LNC001298)
Source: RNAcentral